GUGAGGAAUUUUCCGCAAUGGGCGAAAGCCUGACGGAGCAAUGCCGCGUGAAGGAUGAAGGCCUAUGGGUUAUAAACUUCUUUUCUCAGAAAAGAAUUAUGACGGUAUCUGAGGAAUAAGCAUCGGCUAACUCUGUGCCAGCAGCCGCGGUAAGACAGAGGAUGCAAGCGUUAUCCGGAAUGAUUGGGCGUAAAGCGUCUGUAGGUUGUUUAAAAAGUAUUCUGUCAAAGAUUAGGGCUUAACCCUAGAUAGGCAGAAUAAACUUUUAAGCUAGAGUUUGGUAGAGGCAGAGGGAAUUCCCGGUGGAGCGGUGAAAUGCGUAGAUAUCGGGAGGAACACCAAAGGCGAAGGCACUCUGCUGGGCCAAUACUAACACUGAGAGACGAAAGCGAGGGGAGCAAAUGGGAUUAGAUACCCUGGUAGUCC
RNAcentral lists this ribosomal RNA (426 nucleotides) under uncultured bacterium. RNAcentral describes it as "partial 16S ribosomal RNA". It matches the Rfam family "Bacterial small subunit ribosomal RNA", at positions 354 to 796 of the family's 1533-position model. The record is from RNAcentral.